GGGUCGAUGGCGUAGCUGGUUAUCGCAUCUGUCUAACAUAGUAAGGGACAUAGUUGUGCACAGAAGGUCCUCAGUUCGAACCUGGGUCGACUCA
Lyophyllum atratum is the source of this 94-nucleotide non-coding RNA. The record is from the annotation of a GenBank genome assembly. NCBI's taxonomy places the organism in Eukaryota, Fungi, Basidiomycota, Agaricomycetes, Agaricales, Lyophyllaceae.